Molecule: ribosomal RNA, 451 nt
Filed under: uncultured eukaryote
Lineage: Eukaryota
Description: bacterial SSU rRNA
Rfam family: Eukaryotic small subunit ribosomal RNA
Source: RNAcentral
AACGGGGAAUCAGGGUUCGAUUCCGGAGAGGGAGCCCGAGAAACGGCUACCACUUCCAAGGAAGGCAGCAGGCGCGCAACUUACCCUAAUCUCGAUUCGAGGAGGUAGUGACAAGAAAUACCGAUGCGGGACCCUACGGGUGCCGCGUUCGGAAUGAGUACGAUUCGAACCACCUAACGAGGAACGAUCGGAGGGCAAGUCUGGUGCCAGCAGCCGCGGUAAUUCCAGCUCCAAUAGCGUACGUUAAAGUUGCUGCAGUUAAAAAGCUCGUAGUUGAACGUUCGGGUUCCGCGGGACGGGGCCGCCCCGCGAGGGACGGCGCCGCCCCGGGCGUCGUGAUAUCUCAUCUCGCCGCCCGUCGCGAGGCGGACGGAGGGAUGGAUGAGGUUACCUGGAAAAAAUCGGGGCGAUCUAGGCGGGCGAACCUCGCCAACGAACGAUCGGACAUGGG